Molecule: ribosomal RNA, 480 nt
Filed under: uncultured bacterium
Lineage: Bacteria
Description: partial 16S ribosomal RNA
Rfam family: Bacterial small subunit ribosomal RNA
Source: RNAcentral
GAUGAACGCUGGCGGCGUGCUUAACACAUGCAAGUCGAACGAAGCACUUAUUUGAUUUCCUUCGGGACUGAUUAUUUUGUGACUGAGUGGCGGACGGGUGAGUAACGCGUGGGUAACCUGCCUUGUACAGGGGGAUAACAGUUGGAAACGGCUGCUAAUACCGCAUAAGCGCACAGCAUCGCAUGAUGCAGUGUGAAAAACUCCGGUGGUAUAAGAUGGACCCGCGUUGGAUUAGCUAGUUGGUGAGGUAACGGCCCACCAAGGCGACGAUCCAUAGCCGACCUGAGAGGGUGACCGGCCACAUUGGGACUGAGACACGGCCCAAACUCCUACGGGAGGCAGCAGUGGGGAAUAUUGCACAAUGGGCGAAAGCCUGAUGCAGCGACGCCGCGUGAGCGAAGAAGUAUUUCGGUAUGUAAAGCUCUAUCAGCAGGGAAGAUAAUGACGGUACCUGACUAAGAAGCACCGGCUAAAUACGUG